RNAcentral lists this ribosomal RNA (318 nucleotides) under uncultured Blastobacter sp. RNAcentral describes it as "partial 16S ribosomal RNA". It matches the Rfam family "Bacterial small subunit ribosomal RNA", at positions 30 to 365 of the family's 1533-position model. The record is from RNAcentral. Lineage: Bacteria; Pseudomonadati; Pseudomonadota; Alphaproteobacteria; Hyphomicrobiales; Nitrobacteraceae.
CGAACGCUGGCGGCGUGCUUAACACAUGCAAGUCGAACGGAAAGGCCUCUUCGGAGGUACUCGAGUGGCGAACGGGUGAGCAACACGUGGGCAAUCUGCCCUGCACUUCGGGAUAAGCCUGGGAAACUGGGUCUAAUACCGGAUAAGCCCUUACGGGGAAAGAUUUAUCGCCGAAAGAUCGGCCCGCGUCUGAUUAGCUAGUUGGUAGGGUAAUGGCCUACCAAGGCGACGAUCAGUAGCUGGUCUGAGAGGAUGAUCAGCCACAUUGGGACUGAGACACGGCCCAAACUCCUACGGGAGGCAGCAGAAGGGCGAAUU